Molecule: ribosomal RNA, 503 nt
Filed under: uncultured bacterium
Lineage: Bacteria
Description: partial 16S ribosomal RNA
Rfam family: Bacterial small subunit ribosomal RNA
Source: RNAcentral
AUUGAACGCUGGCGGCAGGCUUAACACAUGCAAGUCGAGCGGAGUGAUGGUGCUUGCACUAUCACUUAGCGGCGGACGGGUGAGUAAUGCUUAGGAAUCUGCCUAUUAGUGGGGGACAACAUCUCGAAAGGGAUGCUAAUACCGCAUACGUCCUACGGGAGAAAGCAGGGGAUCACUUGUGACCUUUCGCUAAUAGAUGAGCCUAAGUCGGAUUAGCUAGUUGGUGGGGUAAAGGCGUACCAAGGCGACGAUCUGGAGCGGGUCUGAGAGGAUGAUCCGCCACACUGGGACUGAGACACGGCCCAGACUCCUACGGGAGGCAGCAGUGGGGAAUAUUGGACAAUGGGGGGAACCCUGAUCCAGCCAUGCCGCGUGUGUGAAGAAGGCCUUAUGGUUGUAAAGCACUUUAAGCGAGGAGGAGGCUCUUUUGGUUAAUACCCAAGAUGAGUGGACGUUACUCGCAGAAUAAGCACCGGCUAACUCUGUGCCAGCCGCCGCCGUAA